Molecule: ribosomal RNA, 425 nt
Filed under: uncultured bacterium
Lineage: Bacteria
Description: partial 16S ribosomal RNA
Rfam family: Bacterial small subunit ribosomal RNA
Source: RNAcentral
GUGAGGAAUUUUGCGCAAUGGGGGCAACCCUGACGCAGCGACGCCGCGUGGAGGACGAAGUCUUUCGGGAUGUAAACUCCUGUCAGUGGGGACGAUAAUGACGGUACCCACAGAGGAAGCACCGGCUAACUCCGUGCCAGCAGCCGCGGUAAGACGGAGGGUGCAAGCGUUGUUCGGAAUUAAUGGGCGUAAAGCGUAUGUAGGCGGCAAGUUAAGUUCAAUGUUAAAGCCCACGGCUCAACCGAGGAGAUGCAUUGAAUACUGGCUAGCUAGAGGGUGUUAGAGGAAGACGGAAUUCCCAGUGUAGCGGUGAAAUGCGUAGAUAUUGGGAGGAACAUCGGUAGCGAAAGCGGUCUUCUGGGACAUACCUGACGCUGAGGUACGAAAGCGUGGGGAGCAAACGGGAUUAGAAACCCCGGUAGUCC